AGAGAGCAUUACUCUUCUCCUUAGCGUCGCUCUCUGCUGGUACAGGUCGCCACAGUGUUGAUAUAAACAAACUAAAAAGGAGUUCCAAUACUGUUCAUAAAAUAACAUGAACCAAACACUGGAUUAAUUAAAACAAUAUGUGAUGUGUACCUGUGCCAAAAAAACAUUUAAUUUAUAAACACUUAUUAACAAUCUUAUAUACAGUGUACGGUCAAAAACAUGAACCAAACGCUGGAUUAAUUAAAACAAUAUGUGAUGUGUACCUGUGCCAAAAAACAUUAAAUUUAUAAAAACUUAUUAAAAAUCUUAUAUACAAUGUACGGUCAAAACAAAUGUAAACAAAUUGUUCCCAAAACUGUGUGUGGCUGUUAAUCAAACAACUAAAAAGAAUUAUUUUUUUGAGCGUACACUGCAAUAAGACUUGAGUUUUAUUUUAUAAUAAAUACAUAUCCAUAAAUUGUGUUAAUUUAAUUAAUGCGUUUUAAAUAUUAUUUUCGUUUAAUUCCAGAAGAACUAUUUCAAAACAUAAGGUAAUUUAUAUAUAUUUCAUAAAUUUAAAUUUUGUGUUUUGUGAACUCGUUUCGUUUAUUUGUGUGCUCUCUUUUUUCUCUUUUCGUUUUAAUUCUACCUAGGGUGGACUAACAUCUACAUACAAAUUGUGUUUUAUUAGGGUGGACCUAUGAACACAAAAUUAAGUGAACAAAAAUUUAAGAAAAAUAAACAUAAAUUUAAAAAAUAAUUAAACAUUAAAUAAAUAAAACAAUUUAAUAAUUUAAUUGAAAAAAAUAUUUUACAAAAUAAACAAAACUAAUAUAAUUUAAAAUGAGGGGAAUGUCGCGGUCAAAUAUUCACCGUUUAACGAAAAAACAAAAGGAAGAGCUUCAGCAAUCGGCUGCUAGAGCUCUUACUUUUGAUACAGAAAAUAACUCUGGAAAUGAAUGCCCAAAUUUAUGUGAACCCGAAUCGGAUAAAAGUGCAUCAAACUAUUCUUUUGAAUAUGAUACCUAUGAAUCUCCGUGAAAAAUUAUUAGAAUGGUACCAUAAUAAUAAUGUUACUAGAGAUCAACUUGAUGCACUUUUAAAAAUUUUGAAUUCGGAAAAUCUAGAUGUUCCUCGUUCGGCUAACGGCCUUCUCAACUUAAAUUUACCUAAAGCGGUUAUCCGUACUGUUAGACCUGGUCACUACACUCACAUUGGCAUCAAAAAUUAUUAGGAAUUUAUAAAAGAUAAGCUCGUAGAUAAUGCCGAAAUAGUUUUAGACGUCAACGUUGACGGACUACCGCUUUUUAAAAGUUCAAAUACCAGUUUGUGGCCAAUUUUAUGAUACUUUCAAAAUAUUCCCAGCAGUGAUGUGUUUUUGAUUGGCUCUUAUGUUGGUAGUCGAAAGCCGGCUAAUGUAGACGAAUGUAUGAGGGAUUUUGUAUCUGAGCUGGUAAAACUUUCUGAUUGUCCCUUUAAAAUUGGUGACAAACGUGUCGUAUUAAAACUAAGGUCUUUUAUCUGUGAUGCCCCCGCAAGAUCGUUUAUGUGUGGGACACCAGGUGCCAACUCAUUUAGUGGCUGCAUGAAAUGCAAACAAGUUGGAAAACGUAUUAGCCAUGUAACUGUUUAUAGUGAAGUUCCAGGUCUUCCAAUUAGCAAUGAUAAAAAUAAAAUUGUCUGUGUACAAAACUGUAGAAAAAAAAUUCACUGGCGAAAAAACUGAUAGAUUUGGAAAUAUUAAUCAAUACAUUUUUAGUAAUUUUAUGAUUUCUAUCAAGAUGACGAAUAAUAUUUGUCAAACCUAAUAUCCCAUUAAAAAUUUCAAAGUUGUUUAAAAAAGAUAAUGGUUUCUUUGUUGAAGGCCACAGAUUUUAAAAUAUAUAUAGUUUUUUUGACACACCAGUCUUAACUUUAUCUUUGGGUAUUCUCCUCACUGAUUGUAAUUGGAACAGUGAAGCAGAAUUGUUUUUUUUUCAAAAUUUCCUCGAAUCGGUUUAUCUUUCGCGUAUUCGUGUCUUGCGUUAUACGACUGCGCCCCUCGGUCGGUUGGGCGGGAGGUGGGCUCUUACGCCUGGGAUUCGCGCGCGACAAAGCUUAGUUAACAUAAAAAUAACUUUAUAAUUAAAAAAAACUGUUGGUGACAAUGACAAAGCUAAAGUACGACUUUUUACAAAAUACCUACUAUCUACUAUCACUAUUUACAUUUUAGCAAUAAAAUGGAUCAGCAUAUGCCCAAAUUUACUUUCACCCCAGUUCCCCUCGAGGCGCCAUCCACUCUCUCUUCCUCUUCGGAGGUCGAGGUAAGAGUUAGAAUGCUCGAGAGCUCAAUGGGGAGGUCGUGGAGGUGAAAAGCCUUAUGACGGCUAUGCUAGAAGCAAACUGCCAAAUGUUGGCGAUUUUAAAGAAGAUGGGACCGGCAGAAACUAAAUUUUUUCCCCAAUUCCCUUUAACUUCCUUUGAACAGUUCAAGGAAGUCGACUCCCAAAUAACUGGGAAUGAGCUUAAAUAUAUUGCAUUAUUGAAAACACUUUUAAAGGACAACCUGCCAAAAAAUUUUAGUAGAAUACUAAGUCCAAGCUUGAUAAUGGAGCUAAAUUAUGGCGGUACGAGGAGCAGGGAAGGUUUUGCGUCCUACGUUCAUUUAAAUGAAACAUUAUUCGAGUCACAAAGGAUGGACGGUUACCAGUAGCUUGAAUAUACGGGAGCAACGGUUUUUUAACGGAUUUAUAGUCAGGUGAAUUUUUUCCAAAUGCAUUCACAUACAAAUUUCAUAAUCAGUGCACAUGAUAUACGAUGGAAC
This is an RNA transcript of Drosophila gunungcola (fruit fly), 2782 nucleotides long. RefSeq lists it as uncharacterized. Lineage: Eukaryota; Metazoa; Arthropoda; Insecta; Diptera; Drosophilidae. The record is from RefSeq and is a predicted model, not a curated record. The transcript is spliced from 4 exons.